RNAcentral lists this long non-coding RNA (527 nucleotides) under Populus trichocarpa (black cottonwood). RNAcentral describes it as "long non-coding RNA (PTRI_LNC000034)". The record is from RNAcentral. Lineage: Eukaryota; Viridiplantae; Streptophyta; Magnoliopsida; Malpighiales; Salicaceae.
CCAGAAGAAAGAGCAAUGCAGAAAGCGCAAACAUAACUUGAAUAAAUGGACUAAAAUUUAGAAAUAAUAAGACCAACCAAACCGUUAUUAAUUAUCACAGCAAAGGAAGAUGGCCCCAGAAGAAAGAGCUAUGCAGAAAGAGCAAAAGUAAAUGUCAUCUGUCGUACAGGUAUAGGAAUAGUCAGCCAGAAGAAUAAAUGGAAGUCACUUUUACAACAAAAGGUUGAUUUUCCAAACAUCUUUAUGUUUCAAAAACAUGAUAGCUUCCAAACCAAAGAUGGAUAGAUGAAAUAACUUAAGCAACCUGAUAACAUGUAACCUUGACCUAGAAUAAUUUCAAUCAAAGGAAGAUGGCCCCAGAAGAAAGAGCUAUGCAGAAAGAGCAAAAGUAAAUGUCAUCUGUCGUACAGGUAUAGGAAUAGUCAGCCAGAAGAAUAAAUGGAAGUCACUUUUACAACAAAAGGUUGAUUUUCCAAACAUCUUUAUGUUUCAAAAACAUGAUAGCUUCCAAACCAAAGAUGGAUAGA